RNAcentral lists this ribosomal RNA (2721 nucleotides) under Escherichia coli 2-210-07_S1_C3. RNAcentral's name for it is "bacterial LSU rRNA". It matches the Rfam family "Bacterial large subunit ribosomal RNA". The record is from RNAcentral. Lineage: Bacteria; Pseudomonadati; Pseudomonadota; Gammaproteobacteria; Enterobacterales; Enterobacteriaceae.
CGGGGGAACUGAAACAUCUAAGUACCCCGAGGAAAAGAAAUCAACCGAGAUUCCCCCAGUAGCGGCGAGCGAACGGGGAGCAGCCCAGAGCCUGAAUCAGUAUGUGUGUUAGUGGAAGCGUCUGGAAAGGCGCGCGAUACAGGGUGACAGCCCCGUACACAAAAAUGCACAUGCUGUGAGCUCGAUGAGUAGGGCGGGACACGUGGUAUCCUGUCUGAAUAUGGGGGGACCAUCCUCCAAGGCUAAAUACUCCUGACUGACCGAUAGUGAACCAGUACCGUGAGGGAAAGGCGAAAAGAACCCCGGCGAGGGGAGUGAAAAAGAACCUGAAACCGUGUACGUACAAGCAGUGGGAGCACGCUUAGGCGUGUGACUGCGUACCUUUUGUAUAAUGGGUCAGCGACUUAUAUUCUGUAGCAAGGUUAACCGAAUAGGGGAGCCGAAGGGAAACCGAGUCUUAACUGGGCGUUAAGUUGCAGGGUAUAGACCCGAAACCCGGUGAUCUAGCCAUGGGCAGGUUGAAGGUUGGGUAACACUAACUGGAGGACCGAACCGACUAAUGUUGAAAAAUUAGCGGAUGACUUGUGGCUGGGGGUGAAAGGCCAAUCAAACCGGGAGAUAGCUGGUUCUCCCCGAAAGCUAUUUAGGUAGCGCCUCGUGAAUUCAUCUCCGGGGGUAGAGCACUGUUUCGGCAAGGGGGUCAUCCCGACUUACCAACCCGAUGCAAACUGCGAAUACCGGAGAAUGUUAUCACGGGAGACACACGGCGGGUGCUAACGUCCGUCGUGAAGAGGGAAACAACCCAGACCGCCAGCUAAGGUCCCAAAGUCAUGGUUAAGUGGGAAACGAUGUGGGAAGGCCCAGACAGCCAGGAUGUUGGCUUAGAAGCAGCCAUCAUUUAAAGAAAGCGUAAUAGCUCACUGGUCGAGUCGGCCUGCGCGGAAGAUGUAACGGGGCUAAACCAUGCACCGAAGCUGCGGCAGCGACACUAUGUGUUGUUGGGUAGGGGAGCGUUCUGUAAGCCUGUGAAGGUGUGCUGUGAGGCAUGCUGGAGGUAUCAGAAGUGCGAAUGCUGACAUAAGUAACGAUAAAGCGGGUGAAAAGCCCGCUCGCCGGAAGACCAAGGGUUCCUGUCCAACGUUAAUCGGGGCAGGGUGAGUCGACCCCUAAGGCGAGGCCGAAAGGCGUAGUCGAUGGGAAACAGGUUAAUAUUCCUGUACUUGGUGUUACUGCGAAGGGGGGACGGAGAAGGCUAUGUUGGCCGGGCGACGGUUGUCCCGGUUUAAGCGUGUAGGCUGGUUUUCCAGGCAAAUCCGGAAAAUCAAGGCUGAGGCGUGAUGACGAGGCACUACGGUGCUGAAGCAACAAAUGCCCUGCUUCCAGGAAAAGCCUCUAAGCAUCAGGUAACAUCAAAUCGUACCCCAAACCGACACAGGUGGUCAGGUAGAGAAUACCAAGGCGCUUGAGAGAACUCGGGUGAAGGAACUAGGCAAAAUGGUGCCGUAACUUCGGGAGAAGGCACGCUGAUAUGUAGGUGAAGUCCCUCGCGGAUGGAGCUGAAAUCAGUCGAAGAUACCAGCUGGCUGCAACUGUUUAUUAAAAACACAGCACUGUGCAAACACGAAAGUGGACGUAUACGGUGUGACGCCUGCCCGGUGCCGGAAGGUUAAUUGAUGGGGUUAGCCGCAAGGCGAAGCUCUUGAUCGAAGCCCCGGUAAACGGCGGCCGUAACUAUAACGGUCCUAAGGUAGCGAAAUUCCUUGUCGGGUAAGUUCCGACCUGCACGAAUGGCGUAAUGAUGGCCAGGCUGUCUCCACCCGAGACUCAGUGAAAUUGAACUCGCUGUGAAGAUGCAGUGUACCCGCGGCAAGACGGAAAGACCCCGUGAACCUUUACUAUAGCUUGACACUGAACAUUGAGCCUUGAUGUGUAGGAUAGGUGGGAGGCUUUGAAGUGUGGACGCCAGUCUGCAUGGAGCCGACCUUGAAAUACCACCCUUUAAUGUUUGAUGUUCUAACGUUGACCCGUAAUCCGGGUUGCGGACAGUGUCUGGUGGGUAGUUUGACUGGGGCGGUCUCCUCCUAAAGAGUAACGGAGGAGCACGAAGGUUGGCUAAUCCUGGUCGGACAUCAGGAGGUUAGUGCAAUGGCAUAAGCCAGCUUGACUGCGAGCGUGACGGCGCGAGCAGGUGCGAAAGCAGGUCAUAGUGAUCCGGUGGUUCUGAAUGGAAGGGCCAUCGCUCAACGGAUAAAAGGUACUCCGGGGAUAACAGGCUGAUACCGCCCAAGAGUUCAUAUCGACGGCGGUGUUUGGCACCUCGAUGUCGGCUCAUCACAUCCUGGGGCUGAAGUAGGUCCCAAGGGUAUGGCUGUUCGCCAUUUAAAGUGGUACGCGAGCUGGGUUUAGAACGUCGUGAGACAGUUCGGUCCCUAUCUGCCGUGGGCGCUGGAGAACUGAGGGGGGCUGCUCCUAGUACGAGAGGACCGGAGUGGACGCAUCACUGGUGUUCGGGUUGUCAUGCCAAUGGCACUGCCCGGUAGCUAAAUGCGGAAGAGAUAAGUGCUGAAAGCAUCUAAGCACGAAACUUGCCCCGAGAUGAGUUCUCCCUGACUCCUUGAGAGUCCUGAAGGAACGUUGAAGACGACGACGUUGAUAGGCCGGGUGUGUAAGCGCAGCGAUGCGUUGAGCUAACCGGUACUAAUGAACCGUGAGGCUUAACCU